AAUAAGGACCGGCUAAUUCCGUGCCAGCAGCCGCGGUAAUACGGAAGGUCCGGGCGUUAUCCGGAUUUAUUGGGUUUAAAGGGAGCGUAGGCUGGAGAUUAAGUGUGUUGUGAAAUGUAGACGCUCAACGUCUGACUUGCAGCGCAUACUGGUUUCCUUGAGUACGCACAACGUUGGCGGAAUUCGUCGUGUAGCGGUGAAAUGCUUAGAUAUGACGAAGAACUCCGAUUGCGAAGGCAGCUGACGGGAGCGCAACUGACGCUGAAGCUCGAAGGUGCGGGUAUCGAACAGGAUUAGAUACCCUGGUAGUCCGCACAGUAAACGAUGGAUGCCCGCUGUUGGUACCUGGUAUCAGCGGCUAAGCGAAAGCAUUAAGCAUCCCACCUGGGGAGUACGCCGGCAACGGUGAAACUCAAAGGAAUUGACGGGGGCCCGCACAAGCGGAGGAACAUGUGGUUUAAUUCGAUGAUACGCGAGGAACCUUACCCGGGCUUGAACCAAGAGUGACGAGUGCAGAGAUGCGCUUAUUCUUCGGACACUUUUGGAGGUGCUGCUUGGUGGUCGUCAGCUCGUGCCGUGAGGUGGCGGCUUAAGUGCCAUAACGAGCGCAACCCCUGUCUUUAGUUGCCAUCAGGUGAUGCUGGGCACUCUGGAGAUACUGCCACCGUAAGGUGUGAGGAAGGUGGGGAUGACGUCAAAUCAGCACGGCCCUUACGUCCGGGGCUACACCGUGUUACAAUGGCCGGUACAGAGGGAUGGUGUAAUGUAAAUUGCAUCAAAUCUUGAAAGCCGGUCCCAGUUCGGACUGGGGUCUGCAACCCGACCCCACGAAGCUGGAUUCGCUAGUAAUCGCGCAUCAGCCAUGGCGCGGUGAAUACGUUCCCGGGCCUUGUACACACCGCCCGUCAAGCCAUGAAAGCCGGGGGUGCCUGAAGUCCGUGACCGCAAGGAUCGGCCUAGGGCAAAACUGGUGAUUGGGGCUAAGUCGUAACAAGGUAGCCGUACCGGAAGGUGCGGCUGGAACACCUCCUUUCUGGAG
This 1039-nucleotide ribosomal RNA is filed under the name Atopobium sp. RNAcentral's name for it is "bacterial SSU rRNA". It matches the Rfam family "Bacterial small subunit ribosomal RNA", at positions 485 to 1533 of the family's 1533-position model. Lineage: Bacteria; Bacillati; Actinomycetota; Coriobacteriia; Coriobacteriales; Atopobiaceae. The record is from RNAcentral.